This is a long non-coding RNA of Armigeres subalbatus, 2588 nucleotides long. RefSeq lists it as uncharacterized. The transcript is spliced from 3 exons. NCBI's taxonomy places the organism in Eukaryota, Metazoa, Arthropoda, Insecta, Diptera, Culicidae. The record is from RefSeq and is a predicted model, not a curated record.
UUCAUCAAGAAGUUUCAUCAAGGAUUUAUCCAGAUUCCAAAGAUUGCUCCAGAAGUUACACCAAGGAUUUCUCCAGAAGUUUCACCAGGGAUUCCACUAAAAGUUUCACCAGGAAUUCCUUCAGGAGUUCCACCAAGAAUUCCUCCAGGAAAUUCCACCAGGGUUUUCUCCAGAAGUUCCACCAAGGAUUCAUCCAGAAGUUCCACCAGGGAUCCAGGAGGCCUACUAAGCAUUCCUCUAGGAACUCCUUACAGGGAUUUAUCCAGGUGUUCCACCAGGGAUUCCUCCAGAAGUUUCACCAGAAAUUCCCUCAGGACUUGUCAUAAGACGAGUUUGUACAAUCCCAUUUAAUUCCACCACUUAAUUGUACCUUGACAGAUACGUAUUUCGACCUCAACAGUAAGGUCGUCUUCAGUUUCUCGUACUUGACUCGACUUAGGAGUUCUAUCAGGGAUUCCUCCAGGAGGCCUACUAAGGAUUGCUCUAGGAAGUUCCAACAGGGAUUCAUCGAGAAGUUCCAACAAGGAUUCAUCCAGCAGUUUCAUCAAGGAUCCCUCCAGAAGUUUCACCAGGAGUUCAACCAGGGAUUCCUCCAGAAGUUCCAUCAGAGAUUCCUCCAAGAGUUCCACUAAGGAUUCUUCCAGGAGUUCCAUCAAAGAUUCCUUCAGGAGCUCCACCAAGGAUUCCUCCAGAAGUUUCACCAGGGAUUCCACCGUAUAAGGCAUACUAAGGAUUUCGCUAAGAGUUCAAAUAUAAAAUCCACCAGGGAUUCCUCGAGAAGUUCCUCCAAGUAUUCAUCCAGGAGUUCCACCAGAGAUUCCUCCGGAAGUUCCACCAAGGAUUCAUCCAGGAGUUCCACUAAGGGUUCCUUCUAAAGUUCCACCACAGAUAACAGAUAUUUAAGCUAGAACAAAUUUUAUUGGAAAUCUUGUGUAAAUUUUCUAAAUGAUGUACGUUGACUCACUACUACCAUCUACUCAACUGAUUGCAGAAGUACAUACGGCUGAUGGUAUUAAGAUAGGCAGAGUUGACGGAAAACAGGUCUGGUUUAAGUAACGGUAACAAUGGACGUGACAUAAUUUUAUUCAUUCAGGUUCUAGCCUACUACAGGAAAUGUUAUUCGAUGUUGCUAGCCCAUAGCGCUCGGUUGCUAUUCAACACUCCUUCUCAACCGAACAGCAUUAGGUCCGAUGCCCAUGGGCACGUGCACGUAGCGUCUUUUCAACGCUGAGUGUAAGCGGCGUCAAAAAGACGCGGGUGUGCAUCAGGAAAAAGCGUUAAGCCGUUUCGGCCCGGGUAUCGAUUUCAAAUUGUAAAAUCCACCGUUCUCUUGUGUUUCGACCGAUUUGCAUGAAAUUUGGAGGAAAGAUGCAUUAAACCCUAUAUUUUUGUGUAGAUGUAUUGAUUUGGUGAUUGGGUCCUUGGGUACGGUUUUAUCGAGGGGGUCCCCUGGGUCAAAUGGGGUCAAAAAACCCAGAUUAAUCCACCUAGCGGUGAUGGCGCCUUUCUCGCGUAAAAAGGUAAUAAAUGUAGCCUUUACGCUUACACCUCGAUGAUGUACAAGAAAGGCAAAACAGUUACACCGUCUAAUGUUAUGAUAGAAAAUUUACACUAGUAGACGACAGAUGGCGCUGCCAAAAGUUUCUCGAAUUUCCUAUGUUCGAAUUUUGACUUUCGGACAAUUUAGUACUAUGUACAUGACCAUCGCUUUCCCCCGUUAUUACACAGAACGAAAAAAAGUUGUGAUUUUAACAUUUUCUAUAUCUUAUUUUGAAAGUUGGAAAAAUUUGGUAUUUUUGAGUGCUAAAAUAUUUAAUCCAAAUGCAAAAUGUAUGAUUUGACAGUUUUUUUCUCAGGUUAAAAUUGUUAUUUUAACAGUGAGAGCACUCAGAAUAAAACUUGUAAAAUAGUCGAAAUAACUUUUUCAUUUCGUAUUUCUGGCAACACUAGACACAACAAAUAAUCAAACUGGCAGCUCGCAACGAUCUGUCAAAAUGAAAAUAAAAAACUACAAAAAUGUUCCGUUUCAAAGGUUUAUUGUGCUAGAGGACAAAAGACAGCAUAAAGGGGCCAGUCUGCUGACCACCAUCCGAAAACUCAUGUAUGUGUCAGGGAAGAAAAUUUUGCUGAGAUGGAUUAUGGCAUAUGGAUUUUUUGAUAACAAGCCAGCAAGCCGAACACCGAAGAAGCUGCAUUAGCUUGGUCGAAAAAAAAAAUGCGCGGAUUAACGAUCCAGGUGCUAGCGUCGACUGCAAAGCUCGCUUAAAGUUCUAAUCUGUGUUAAAUUAAGUGCGUUGGUCGUCCUUUACAUCUUGAGUCGAUACCGAAGAAGAAACAUCCCUGAACUGUGCGGCAAUGGUGCCUUCUGGAAUCGGGAGAAUGCCUUCCAAAGCGAAGGCACCCCACUGAUGUUUGCUGCGACAUUCGGAAAAGCUGCUCAAUAACAUCAACACAGCGGGCCGAUCGAGCCGACGUGAAAGCGAUUAAUAAAAAUAGAAAAUAAAAUGGAAACAAAAUAAUUAUUCAUAAAUCUGUAUAUUUUAUUAUUGACAAAUUUGAAUUGAAAAUGCACAUGUGGGAUUAAGAAU